ACCCCGGGAGGGGAGUGAAAUAGAACCUGAAACUGCAUACAUACAAACAGUAGGAGCCCGCAAGGGUGACUGCGUACCUUUUGCAUAAUGGGUCAGCGACUUACGUUUUGCGGCGAGCUUAACCGAGUAGGGGAGGCGCAGCGAAAGCGAGUUCGAACAGAGCGACAGAGUCGUAAGGCGUAGACCCGAAACCAGAUGAGCUAUCCAUGGUCAGGUUGAAGGUGUGGUAACACACACUGGAGGACCGAACCGACCGGUGUUGCAAAACCGGCGGAUGAACUGUGGAUAGGGGUGAAAGGCUUAACAAAUCUGGAGAUAGCUGGUUCUCCCCGAAAACUAUUGAGGUAGUGCCUCGUGAAUGACUGCCGGGGGUAGAGCACUGUUAUGGCUAGGGGGACAUGGCGUCUUACCAAACCAUGGCAAACUCCGAAUACUGGCAAGUUGAAUCACGGGAGACAGAGCACCGGGUGCUAACGUCCGGACUCAAAAGGGAAACAACCCAGACCGCCGUUUAAGGUCCCUAAUAACAGCUAAGUGGAAAACGAAGUGUGAAGGCUAAGACAGUCAGGAAGUUGGCUUAGAAGCAGCCAUCCUUCAAAGAAAGCGUAAUAGCUCACUGAUCGAGUCCUCAUGCGCGGAAGAUGUAACGGGGCUAAGCUGUUAACCGAAAGCGCGGAUUUCCAAGCAAUUGGAAGUGGUAGGGGAGCGUUCUGUAAGCCGACGAAGGUGAUUCGUAAGGAUUGCUGGAGGUAUCAGAAGUGCGAAUGCUGACAUGAGUAACGAUAAAGCGGGUGAAAAGCCCGCUCGCCGUAAGCCCAAGGUUUCCUGCUCUACGUUCAUCGGAGCAGGGUGAGUCGGCCCCUAAGGCCAGGCUGAGAAGCGUAGUCGAUGGGAAGCUGAUUAAUAUUUCAGCACCACUGUUGAGUGCGAAGGGGGGACGGAGUUUUGCAAGUAAUCCGGGUGUUGGAUGUCCCGGUUGGCGAGCGUAGGAGGUGAGCAGGCAAAUCCGCUCACGCAUCUCCGAGACGAAGCCUCGAGGUCCUUUAGGACUGAAGUUACCGAAUGAACUUCCAGGAAAAGCCUCUAAGCUCCAGCUCAACGGUGACCGUACCGUAAACCGACACAGGUGGGCGAGUUGAAUAUACUCAGGCGCUUGAGAGAACUCGGGAGAAGGAACUCGGCAAAUUGACACCGUAACUUCGGGAUAAGGUGUGCCUUGGUAGCGUGAAAGGAGAAACUCCCCAAGCGCGAAGAGGUCACAGAAAAUAGGGGGCUGCGACUGUUUACUAAAAACACAGCACUCUGCAAAGACGAAAGUCGACGUAUAGGGUGUGAUGCCUGCCCGGUGCCGGAAGAUUAAGUGAUGGGGUGAGAGCUCCUGAUCGAAGUCCCGGUAAACGGCGGCCGUAACUAUAACGGUCCUAAGGUAGCGAAAUUCCUUGUCGGGUAAGUUCCGACCUGCACGAAUGGCAUAACGAUGGCCCCACUGUCUCCUCCCGAGACUCAGUGAAGUUGAAAUGUUUGUGAUGAUGCAAUCUCCCCGCGGCUAGACGGAAAGACCCCAUGAACCUUUACUGCAGCUUUGCAUUGGACUUUGAACCGAUCUGUGUAGGAUAGGCGGGAGGCAAUGAAACUUUGACGCCAGUCAGAGUGGAGCCGACGUUGAAAUACCGCCCUGAUUUGUUUGAGGUUCUAACCGCAGACAGUGAGCCUGUCUCGGGACCGUGCAUGGUAGGCAGUUUGACUGGGGCGGUCUCCUCCUAAAGGGUAACGGAGGAGUACAAAGGUACGCUAGGUACGGUCGGAAAUCGUGCUGAUAGUGCAAUGGCGCAAGCGUGCUUGACUGCGAGACCGACAAGUCGAGCAGAUGCGAAAGCAGGUCAUAGUGAUCCGGUGGCACUGAAUGGAAGGGCCAUCGCUCAACGGAUAAAAGGUACUCUGGGGAUAACAGGCUGAUACCGCCCAAGAGUUCAUAUCGACGGCGGUGUUUGGCACCUCGAUGUCGGCUCAUCUCAUCCUGGGGCUGUAGCCGGUCCCAAGGGUAUGGCUGUUCGCCAUUUAAAGAGGUACGUGAGCUGGGUUUAAAACGUCGUGAGAC
Molecule: ribosomal RNA, 2098 nt
Filed under: human gut metagenome
Description: bacterial LSU rRNA
Rfam family: Bacterial large subunit ribosomal RNA
Source: RNAcentral